ACAAGACCGAUUUCCCGGUUUAAUUGAAAACCCAUCAUUUAAGAUUAAACCAUAUAAAACCAAAAUAAACGGAUAAACCGGAAUAGAAAUACUGAAUCUUUUUUGCUUUUAAACCGGAUGCCUAGCCAACGCAUGCUAUCAUAGAGUCUUUCUCAAUUCUUACACAGCAUGCUGUCAGUCCCGUCCCGCCCCUCCUGUAAGGAAAAUGAAGCAUAUGCUUCAAGCCACAACAAUAGAUUCUAUUUACAGGGCCACAUAGGGUUAAUCAUUUGGUUACAUAUGUCUUCUUUGAUCAUGAUCUCUCUAAUCAAGCUUUUCUAUGAGUUAUUUUUCUCUGUUUUUGACACUUUUAAUCUAUCUCGUCUCUCUCUCCUUUUGUGUAACGUGUAUUUUAUUACAUCAUUUUAUUUCUUUUCAUGUAAAUCUUGUGGAAUCCAUUUUAGCUUUUUUCCAGAAGGCCACAUCUUGUUUGUGUGCUUUUUAAGCCACUUUAUAUUAAGGGCCGGCACUGCAUGCUAUAGAGAGAUAUGAUGAACCUGAGAGCUUUGAGGCUGAAGACUACAAAUGGAAAUGGAAAUGGUAAUGACAUCAUUGUUACACAGCUUUAUUUAUUUUCUUUAAUUAUUAACGAACCCUUUUAAUAAGAAUUAUCAACAUAACAUGUGACUGGUAUCUAAAAACCUUGAUUAUUGUUAUACUAUGCCGCAUUUUUUCCUUUGCUUUUCGUUGUUGGGAUCCAUUUCUGCAUAUACUCUAACAUGGAGUGUGGUCACUAGUUAUGUUUUGGUUAACUUUAUUCAAAACAACUUUACAUCCAUCUCUUUAUCACAUCUGCGUAAUGAACCUGUCUAAAGUCUCUUUACUUAGAGCAGGCGCAUUAGAGGAUGUAAUGGGGUUCAUGGGCUCAAGUUCCUAGGCCAGAAUUGAUUUAAAAAAAUAAAAAAUGAUUUUAAUUCAUUGAACCGAUCCUUAGUAGUGAACUUGUAUGAAGCGGUUCAGACCACGUGUCAAUCAGUCACUGUCUUUUCUUUCCUUCUCCACAUCUUCUCCUCGUCUCUUACAGAAGCUGGAGUUCGGUAAUAAGUCUAGCUUUAGCUUCCUCCACUCUCUCUCCAUCUCCUUCCAUUGUUCGUCCUCUUCUCUCCUCUUUCCUCAUUUCAUCAGAUUCAAUUCUUUUUCCUUUCAUCUCAAUUCUUCUCUGUUUUUUAUUUCUCUUUUGUAACAAUCAGAGGAGAAUGGUGGUGGUCUGAUAAAUUGGACCUUAUUCCUUGUGUAUGUUUACUGAAAUCAAUAUAUCUUGCGAUUAUAGAGCUCUAAUCUCCAUUUUUUUCUUAUGAGGUUAUGUUUUGAUGAUAGAGACAUUUUUUUUUACUUACAAUGAGUACACCAAGAAACGGCUUUUCCAAGCAUCAGAGAGCUGAGAAAGUCUGUGGUCAGAGAGGGCCUAAUUGGAUCCUAAUCGCAGGUGGAGCCUUGUUGAGCACUCUGUCCAUUCGCUUUGGCUACAAGCUUAAGCAGUCGCCUCUUUUCAAACCUCCUCAUCAGUCUAAUGCCUCUCCUGGAUUUAAAGCCAAUGGAACAUCUGAGAGGCAAAGAUGUUGUUGUUUGCACUCCUCCACCACGUCUUCCUGUGCAAAGAAUAAUGGUUAUUCCUGCUUCCGCUCCGUUCCAGGUCUUUACAGGUCACAGGAACACUGUUUUUUCCCUAUGUUUCAGACACAGAACUGCAGAGCUCUACUCUGGUUCAUUUGAUCGAAGUGUCAAGGCGUGCACUUACGGUUGGGAGAGAUAGAAUCAUGCAACUACACAAGUUUGUGUAUUGUGUUACAGGAAGGUAGACAAGGCAGAGAAGCUUGAUGGAGGAGAAGGUGGCAAAAGGAGUGAGUCAUUAGUGGCGAGGACAUUAGGUGUUUAGAGUGGAGAAGGUCCAAGCUCCGGUAUGUGACUAGAAGACGGUGACGUUGGAGAUAGAACUUUGACUUUAGAAUUUUAGGUGUAGGUUUAAUUGUUUUUUAAAAAAUUAGUUAAGUUUGAUAUACCUGUCAUAACUAUGUAACCAAUUUCAAUAUAUAAAAAAUUUAAUAUAAAUUUGUAUUUUUAUAUUUUAUAUUUUUUUUUAAUUUUUAAUUUUUAAUAAUGCCAAUUAUUGUAUGAAUAAUCUUUGUAUGUUUUUGAAUUCUCAAUGUAUUGAAUAAAAUUUUAAUGUCAUUUUUGUGUUAUCUAUUCUUAAUGUAUUGAAUAAUUUUUUAAAAAAAUUAUAAAAGAUUAUUAUAUUUUAUUCAUGUAUUGUUAAUUAAUUGAAAGUUUAAAAAAAUAUAAAUAAUAAUGUUUUAUUUCUAUGAACUCCUUCUUGAGAUUCACUAAUGCAAGAACACAAUAAAUAGAGGUUCAACACUAUUUAUGGUUCCACCAAAAAAUAUUAAAAAAUUCUUAUGAACCCUAAGAGGGGGUUCACUAAUUCUGAUGCUCUUAUGGUUUUCCUUUUUUCCAUGUAAGGGACCAUAUACACGUUUCUAUUUUCUGGUGUCCAAUUCAAAUACUUUGAGUUUAGUAAUUAUUGUGUUUGUUUUUAACAUAUCAGUUUAACAGAGUAUGUGGUUUUGCUUGCAAGAAACUGGUUUUGUAUCCAAAGUAAACAAGAGCAAGUAUAUGAUGUCUCUGUUUACUUGGCUCUGGCGCACUCUAGCUCAUUAGGACCAGGGUGGGACCGUGGGAGCACAAGACCCAUGUAUGCUAAGGUUUCGGCAAGAUAAUAGACAACUUUGUCUACCUAUUUCAACCACAUUUUUCUCUAUAUGAAAUAUCAAAUCGUUUGGUUCUUGCACAAUCUCAAACUGUAUUCCUUCUUGCUUUUUUUCUUUUUUGCAUUUAAAUAGAGCUUUAUGAGCUAUUUUCCUUUUCAAUAAAGCUCUUAUUAGCUCAAUCUAUCUUGCUAGGCAUUUACUCACAGUUUGCACUAUACCCGUCUAUACUUGCUGGAUCAAAACAUAAAUAGUUAUUCUCAUCUCCAAAUUUUCAGCCAAAGUCAAACUUGGUGUUAUCUGUCUUUGAUUCACGCAAAUUGCAUUCCAAGUGUAUGUAAGACUCCUCAAAAAAAAAAUUGCAAAAGCCAAAAUCUUUGACAAUUGAUACUGUAAACAAAGGAUAGUAGUAUUGAAUAUAUUCUUUAACAAAAUUAUCUGCUCAAUACAAACAAGAAAUACAAAAUAUGAUUUUCAACUUUUCUCACCACAACAAUAACGUAAUAGUAAUAAGACUAAUAAUAUAUAUUCCCAGUUUCUCAGAUUUUUUUUCUUGCAAGAAAAAUAAUAAACACAACUCAAGAGUUGAACUAUAUGAAACCAAAAAUACAGAGAAGGAGACUGAAUCCGGAGAGACGUGAAACAUAAA
Brassica napus (rape) is the source of this 3390-nucleotide RNA transcript. RefSeq lists it as uncharacterized. The record is from RefSeq and is a predicted model, not a curated record. The transcript has 5 exons. Lineage: Eukaryota; Viridiplantae; Streptophyta; Magnoliopsida; Brassicales; Brassicaceae.